This 406-nucleotide ribosomal RNA is filed under the name uncultured bacterium. RNAcentral's name for it is "partial 16S ribosomal RNA". It matches the Rfam family "Bacterial small subunit ribosomal RNA", at positions 30 to 526 of the family's 1533-position model. The record is from RNAcentral.
AUUGAACGCUGGCGGCAGGCUUAACACAUGCAAGUCGAGCGAGCGGCGGACGGGUGAGUAAUGUCUGGGAAACUGCCUGAUGGAGGGGGAUAACUACUGGAAACGGUAGCUAAUACCGCAUACCAUCAGAUGUGCCCAGAUGGGAUUAGCUAGUAGGUGGGGUAAUGGCUCACCUAGGCGACGAUCCCUAGCUGGUCUGAGAGGAGGACAAGCCACCCUGGAGCUGAAACACGGACCAAACUCCGACGGGAGGCAGCGGUGGGGCAUAUUGCACAAUGGGCGCAAGCCUGAUGCGGACAUGCCGCGUGUGUGAAGAAGGCCUUCGGGUUGUGAAGCACUUUCAGCGGGGAAGCGUUACUCGCAGAAGAAGCACCGGCUAACUCCGUGCCAGCAGCCGCGGUAAUUC